Molecule: ribosomal RNA, 253 nt
Filed under: uncultured bacterium
Lineage: Bacteria
Description: partial 16S ribosomal RNA
Rfam family: Bacterial small subunit ribosomal RNA
Source: RNAcentral
UACGAAGGGUGCAAACGUUGCUCGGAAUCAUUGGGCGUAAAGCGCACGUAGGCGGCCCAGCAAGUUGGAUGUGAAAUCCCUCGGCUCAACCGAGGACGUGCAUCCAAAACUGCUGGGCUUGAGUACUGAAGAGGAUCGCGGAAUUCCCGGUGUAGAGGUGAAAUUCGUAGAUAUCGGGAGGAACACCAGUGGCGAAGGCGGCGAUCUGGGCAGAUACUGACGCUGAGGUGCGAAAGCGUGGGGAGCGAACGGG